RNAcentral lists this ribosomal RNA (209 nucleotides) under Ehrlichia canis. RNAcentral's name for it is "partial 16S ribosomal RNA". It matches the Rfam family "Bacterial small subunit ribosomal RNA", at positions 825 to 1034 of the family's 1533-position model. The record is from RNAcentral. Lineage: Bacteria; Pseudomonadati; Pseudomonadota; Alphaproteobacteria; Rickettsiales; Anaplasmataceae.
AGGAUUUUAUCUUUGUAUUGUAGCUAACGCGUUAAGCACUCCGCCUGGGGACUACGGUCGCAAGACUAAAACUCAAAGGAAUUGACGGGGACCCGCACAAGCGGUGGAGCAUGUGGUUUAAUUCGAUGCUACGCGAAAAACCUUACCACUUUUUGACAUGAAGGUCGUAUCCCUCCUAACAGGGGGAGUCAGUUCGGCUGGACCUUACA